RNAcentral lists this transfer-messenger RNA (265 nucleotides) under Candidatus Dadabacteria bacterium. It matches the Rfam family "transfer-messenger RNA", at positions 45 to 320 of the family's 374-position model. Rfam says of the family: Bacterial tmRNA, also known as 10Sa RNA or SsrA, is named for its dual tRNA and mRNA-like properties. Its role is to liberate the mRNA from a stalled ribosome. The record is from RNAcentral. Lineage: Bacteria; Pseudomonadati; Thermodesulfobacteriota; Candidatus Dadabacteria.
GCACGCAGAGGCUGACCAACUGGCCUCUAUAAAAGUUGGUCAAACACUAUAAACGCAACUGAUAAUCAGUAUGCUUUGGCAGCCUAAGAACUGUCAAUGGAUGAUAGAAGCGAAUGCCAAUAGCGUCUUGAAAUCCAUCGUAAAAUUUGGCUAGUCUUUAGAAUGGCAACUAUUUUAGAGACGAAAUUUUAGUUGCAAUAACUAAUUACAGGUUUGUUUAUUGUCCUGUGUUAGUCUAAAUUGAACAAUAAACUAAGCGUGUAGA